This 952-nucleotide ribosomal RNA is filed under the name Cortinarius sp. KH408-78. Its description in RNAcentral is "eukaryotic LSU rRNA". The stretch from base 575 to 952 matches the Rfam family "Eukaryotic large subunit ribosomal RNA", at positions 1 to 382 of the family's 3401-position model. The record is from RNAcentral. Lineage: Eukaryota; Fungi; Basidiomycota; Agaricomycetes; Agaricales; Cortinariaceae.
GUAUUAGAGUAGUAUAAGUCGUAACAGGUUUCCGUAGGUGAACCUGCGGAAGGAUCAUUAUUGAAAUAAACCUGAUGGGUUGUUGCUGGCUCUCUAGGGAGCAUGUGCACGCCUUGUCAUCUUUAUAUCUCCACCUGUGCACCUUUUGUAGACCUUUCAGGUCUAUGUUGCUUCAUUUUUCCCCAAUGUAUGUUAAUAGAAUGUUGUGCCCUGUAUAAUAUAUACAACUUUCAGCAACGGAUCUCUUGGCUCUCGCAUCGAUGAAGAACGCAGCGAAAUGCGAUAAGUAAUGUGAAUUGCAGAAUUCAGUGAAUCAUCGAAUCUUUGAACGCACCUUGCGCUCCUUGGUAUUCCGAGGAGCAUGCCUGUUUGAGUGUCAUUAAUAUAUAUCAAGCCUUCUCUUGUAGAAGGGUUUGGAUGUGGGGGUUUGCUGGCCUCUUAAAAGGGUUCAGCUCUCCUGAAAUGCAUUAGCAGAACAAACCUUGUGUUCAUUGGUGUGAUAACUAUCUACGCUAUCGAAUGUCGAGGGGGCAGUUCAGCUUUCUAACGGUCUUUGGACAACUCAUCAUUAAUGUGACCUCAAAUCAGGUAGGACUACCCGCUGAACUUAAGCAUAUCAAUAAGCGGAGGAAAAGAAACUAACAAGGAUUCCCCUAGUAACUGCGAGUGAAGCGGGAAAAGCUCAAAUUUAAAAUCUGGCGGUUUUUUUGGCCGUCCGAGUUGUAAUCUAGAGAAGUGUUAUCCGCGCUGGACCGUGUACAAGUCUCCUGGAAUGGAGCAUCAUAGAGGGUGAGAAUCCCGUCUUUGACAUGGACUGCCAGGGCUUGGUGAUGCGCUCUCAAGAGUCGAGUUGUUUGGAAUGCAGCUCAAAUGGGGUGGUAAUUCAUCUAAGCUAAAUAUUGCGAGAGACGAUAGCGAACAGUACGGGAGGGAAGAUGAAAGACUUGGAAGA